This 76-nucleotide transfer RNA is filed under the name Muribaculaceae bacterium. RNAcentral describes it as "tRNA-Trp". It matches the Rfam family "tRNA". Rfam says of the family: Transfer RNA (tRNA) molecules are approximately 80 nucleotides in length. The record is from RNAcentral. Lineage: Bacteria; Pseudomonadati; Bacteroidota; Bacteroidia; Bacteroidales; Muribaculaceae.
ACGGGAAUAGCUCAGUUGGUAGAGCAUCGGUCUCCAAAACCGAGGGUCGAGAGUUCGAGUCUUUCUUCCCGUGCCA